This 254-nucleotide ribosomal RNA is filed under the name uncultured bacterium. Its description in RNAcentral is "partial 16S ribosomal RNA". It matches the Rfam family "Bacterial small subunit ribosomal RNA", at positions 524 to 776 of the family's 1533-position model. The record is from RNAcentral.
UACGGGGGGAGCAAGCGUUGUUCGGAUUUACUGGGCGUAAAGGGCGCGUAGGCGGCCACCGCAAGUCGACUGUGAAAUCUCCGGGCUUAACCCGGAAAGGUCAGCCGAUACUGCGGGGCUAGAGUGCAGAAGGGGCAACUGGAAUUCUCGGUGUAGCGGUGAAAUGCGUAGAUAUCGGGAGGAACAUCAGUGGCGAAGGCGGCUAUCUGGACCAACACUGACACUGAGGCACGAAAGCGUGGGUAGCAAACAGG